AUAAUAAUAAUAACCUGAGAAAUCCUGUAUUUACAACUUGCUAUUUACCUAAAUAUUAGUGCUCCUGUAAAAAUACCGAUUUUCCUUUUUUCUGUGUUUUUUUUUCAAGUUUGCAGUAUUAACUGCAAAUGAUCUUUUAUGAGGAAAAGCCCCAAAAAAAUCACAGAAUAGAAUCUCCAAUUUUAUGAUGUCAUCAAAAGGAAAAUAGAAUUUAGUACACAGGCAGCUUUUCUGGCACAAAUCCAUUCUGUUUACUGAUGUCUAUCUUAUUAAAUAUGCUUCCCAUCAAAUUGGGAGACCAUCACUUGUCCUUUUAGAGAAGAAAAGCUACAUCGUUAGGAGCAGUGGUGAUGAGGGCCCACCAUCCUGCAAAGCGAGGAAUACAGAGAGGACGCGAGGAGGCGUGCUGUACGUCCACGUGGCACAGCCAUGUGAUUCGGGAAGAGGAGACCAAAUGGUUUCGUGUCUUAAUCCCCAUGGACCAAAGUCACGCAAGCAUAUGUAAGAGCAGCUACUAUUCAGCACCUAUUCAGCAACUGUCAUUAGAGGUAACGUGCAUACAAACCGGUUUUCUAAGACAA
Leopardus geoffroyi (Geoffroy's cat) is the source of this 581-nucleotide long non-coding RNA. RefSeq lists it as uncharacterized. The transcript is spliced from 2 exons. The record is from RefSeq and is a predicted model, not a curated record. Lineage: Eukaryota; Metazoa; Chordata; Mammalia; Carnivora; Felidae.